GUUGACAGAUGGAUGCCUUCUUAAUCACAGCCUGUGACACCCACAUGACUAGGAGGAGGCAGAAAGUGAAUAGGGAGCUCUUAUUACUUUUUGAGUGUCAGCAAGUUAAGACAUCAUCUCCAGAAAACUGUGCUAGUUGGCAUCCAGCAGUGCCCAAGUAUUAUUUAACCCACUAGAACCUGUGACUGCAUCAGCUUUAUAUCCUGGACCUCAGCCUGGAACAAAGGAGAGCUACACUUGGAUACUAAACACAAGUGGUCUGGAUAGAUUAUGCUGGGAAAAGAAGCCUGGAGCAGGCAGUACAGUGGGAGAACAAGACAGAAGUGCUUGCCUUGGUGAUCCAAAAAAGGCAGGAUCCGGCCGGGGGCAAGGUGAUUAUUCUGUCUGAUGAGGAGAAUAAGAGCCAGUUUGUGGUAUUGACAGAAGAAUGAAAGUAAAGUCUUGAAAGAUGGGAAGAUCAGGAGCAGUCUGGAGUCAUGGUAUAUGAAUGAACUAGUGAGAGUGGGCACAAAGUCUGAAGAUCUUUGUAGUGCAGCUAAUGUCUAAGGGAGAAUAUACCUACCCUAGAAGAGACAUUAAACAACCAGGUUGUCUCUUCAUUCUGUUGAUUGUUUCCUUUGUUGUAAAAGAAACUCACUUUACAGGAAAAGAGGUGCAACAGUGGCUGGAUGAUUAUAAGAUCGACUGUUCCUAUUAAAAACUACACCAUCCAAAAGAGGCUGCCAUUGAAGAGCAAUAAAGUAGUUCAUAGAAGGCAUAGUUCAACCAAUCUACAAAGGCCAAAAAUAUUUUCACAGGCCCCCAAAAGAUGAACUCCAAUCUGCUGCCCCUAAACGCAUUCUCCACUGUCUGGAAGAUGUGCAAAGGCAACGGCACAGCGUUCUCCAUCUCAAAUCCUUCAAAGUGCUGUCAGAAUAAAAGAAUCCCCACCAAAAGCCCCAGGGAAAUCUAUCUGUCUGUAUGGUAUGGUAAUGACUGAGGUUAUUCCAGAUAGGAUUCUGGGAGAAACUCAGCUAUUGAAAUCUAAUGAAUGGAACUGAGAAUUUCUUGUUAUAAUACUGUUUGUUUGAUUGAAUAUAUCCUUGCAUAUAGGAAGACAUAAAAAUAAAUAAUAAAAGCAAGAUAUUAUUUGAA
This 1134-nucleotide long non-coding RNA is filed under the name Homo sapiens (human). RNAcentral describes it as "long intergenic non-protein coding RNA 1013". Lineage: Eukaryota; Metazoa; Chordata; Mammalia; Primates; Hominidae. The record is from RNAcentral.